This is a long non-coding RNA of Vidua chalybeata, 213 nucleotides long. RefSeq lists it as uncharacterized. Lineage: Eukaryota; Metazoa; Chordata; Aves; Passeriformes; Viduidae. The transcript has 2 exons. The record is from RefSeq and is a predicted model, not a curated record.
GGACCAUCCAUGCACCCAGCUCGAGCAGUGGUAGAGCUUUUGGGGUCAAUUACGUUGGAUUUGGUACUGGUUCUUCUGCUGGCACAGAUGUUCUCAAAGAAGGUCUAUACAGAACUCUCAUCUACUUGAAGAUGUCCCUGCUCACUGCAAGGAGUCCCUUCCAACGACUGUGAAGAAUAAAUUAAAAUACCAGGUGGAGCACCUCAGACACAA